ACGGGUGAGUAACGCGUGGUCAACCUGCCCUUGAGCGGGGGAUAACUAGCCGAAAGGUUAGCUAAUACCGCAUACGUCUAGGAUGGCAUCAUCCAAAGAUAAAAGCCGCAAGGCACUCGAGGAGGGGACCGCGUCCCAUUAGCUAGUUGGUGGGGUAAUAGCCUACCAAGGCUCCGAUGGGUAGCUGGUUUGAGAGAGCGACCAGCCACACUGGGGCUGAGAAACGGCCCAG
Molecule: ribosomal RNA, 232 nt
Filed under: uncultured bacterium
Lineage: Bacteria
Description: partial 16S ribosomal RNA
Rfam family: Bacterial small subunit ribosomal RNA
Source: RNAcentral